GGUUCCCCUGCAUAAGGAUGAACC
This 24-nucleotide unclassified non-coding RNA is filed under the name Saccharomyces cerevisiae (brewer's yeast). Lineage: Eukaryota; Fungi; Ascomycota; Saccharomycetes; Saccharomycetales; Saccharomycetaceae. The record is from RNAcentral. RNAcentral also lists the same sequence under 1 other name.